GGAGUUAUAAAAAAAGUUAUGAAGAAUUGCAGAUCCCUUAACUCUAGAAAAGUACCUUGCAGAGAGAGGCCUGGUUAGAUUGCACCGCUGACUCAAUGGACAUGAAUUUGAGCAAACUGGGAGUUAGCCAAGGACAGGGAAGCCUGGCACGCUGCAGUCCGUGGGGUCACAGUCAGGCACGCCUGAGUGACUGAGCAACAACAGAGGCCAGUAGGAGACAAGGAAGGCUCUGUCUUGCUUCUGGGUUGGUGGGACGAGUCCUGGACUCACCUGAGCUGGAGCCGGCUCAGGUCCUCAUCUCGUGGGACUGGCGGUGACUCCUCCCCUGAGCUGGGCACUGGCGGGCGUGGGCCAAGGUGGUUGGGCCCAGACGGUCCAAAGCAUCGUCAGCUGAAACACCCUUAAAGUCUGAGGAGCAAUGGAAGCCACUUCUAGGAGGAACCGUUGUAGAUCAGAGCUUACAUAACUUCUCUCUGGAGCACCUUUUAACAGAGGAGAACUGGGAGGACUGGCCUUUCCAGGCUACUGUAAUGAGCCAAGUCCUGGUCCAAGGCGUGGGUCUCCACGGGCCCCACUGUCUUUGAGAAGAAGAUGGAUGAAGCUGCAAAAUUGGCUUUUGUUGUUGUUUAGUCACUAAGUUGUGUCCAACUCUUUGUGGCCCCAAGGGGUGUAGUCCGCCAGGCUGCUUUGUCCAUGGGAUUUCCCAGGCAAGAAGACUGCAGUGGGUUGCCGUUUCGGCCUCCAGGAGAUCUUCCUGACCCAGGGAUCGAACCCAGGUCUCCUGCAUGGGCAGGUUGAACCUUGGAGAGGGAAGAGGAAAGCUUCAACACGGGCUUGAAAGCAACAGAAAUUUAAAAAGUAAAUCUCCUAAGCAGAGACAUCACUUUGCUGACAAAGGUCUGUAUAGUCAAAGCUAUGGUUUUUCCAGUAGUCAUGUAGAAUGUGACAGCUGGACCAUAAAGGAGGCUGAGUGCUUAAGAACUGAUGCUUUUGAACUGUGGUACUGGAGAGACUCUUGAGAGUCCCUUGGGCUACAAGAAGAUCAAACCAGUCAAUCCUAAAGGAAAUCAACCUGAAUAUUCAUUGGAAGGACUGAUGCUAAAGCUGAAGCUCUAAUGCUUUGUCACCUGAUGGAAAGAACCGACUCAUUGGAAAAGACUCUGAUUCUAGGAAAAAUUGAAUGUAGGAGGAGAAGGGGGUGACAGAGGAUGAGAUGGUUGGAUGGCAUCACUGACUCAAUAGACAUGAGUUUGAAUAAGCUCUGAGAUGGUGAAGGACAGGGAAGCCUGUGUUGCAGUCCAUGGGUUCGCAAGGAGUCAGACACAACUGAAGUGACUUAGUUUGCACACACAUCUUCACAGCAGAGUGUUUCCUGAAAGUCUCAGUCUAUGACAGUGAUGCUCCUGGCUAGAGAUGCCUGUGGUGCUCACAUCGAUCAUCCCACCUGCAGCAGCCCCUACAGACAUCUCCCUGACCAGGGUCCAAGGAUGUGGCUGGAUCAGGCCUUGUGGGUCUUAUGACUGCAGAAUGCACCUCAGCAACAAGCACCAGGAAAGUUUGGAAAAAAGAAGAUUUAUGACUCAGCAGUCCUGGCGGACGUGCAGCACACCCUGACCACAUACUGUGGUCAAGGUUGAAGGAGGGAAGGAG
Long non-coding RNA from Bos taurus (domestic cattle), 1650 nucleotides. NCBI's taxonomy places the organism in Eukaryota, Metazoa, Chordata, Mammalia, Artiodactyla, Bovidae. The record is from Ensembl.